CGUUCGAUCUCAAAUCAGGAGGACUACCCGCUGAACUUAGCAUAUCAGAAGUUCUUCACGGAAACUUCUUG
RNAcentral lists this ribosomal RNA (71 nucleotides) under uncultured Thelephora. Its description in RNAcentral is "partial 28S ribosomal RNA". Lineage: Eukaryota; Fungi; Basidiomycota; Agaricomycetes; Thelephorales; Thelephoraceae. The record is from RNAcentral.